This 504-nucleotide ribosomal RNA is filed under the name uncultured bacterium. RNAcentral describes it as "partial 16S ribosomal RNA". It matches the Rfam family "Bacterial small subunit ribosomal RNA", at positions 30 to 523 of the family's 1533-position model. The record is from RNAcentral.
AUUGAACGCUGGCGGCAUGCCUUACACAUGCAAGUCGAACGGCAGCAUGGAGAGCUUGCUCUCUGAUGGCGAGUGGCGAACGGGUGAGUAAUGCAUCGGAACGUACCGUGUAAUGGGGGAUAACGUAGCGAAAGUUACGCUAAUACCGCAUACGACCUGAGGGCGAAAGCAGGGGAUCGCAAGACCUUGCGUUAUACGAGCGGCCGAUGUCAGAUUAGCUACUUGGUGAGGUAAAGGCUCACCAAGGCGACGAUCUGUAGCGGGUCUGAGAGGAUGAUCCGCCACACUGGGACUGAGACACGGCCCAGACUCCUACGGGAGGCAGCAGUGGGGAAUUUUGGACAAUGGGGGCAACCCUGAUCCAGCCAUGCCGCGUGAGUGAAGAAGGCCUUCGGGUUGUAAAGCUCUUUCGGCCGGGAAGAAAUCGCACAGGCUAAUACUCUGUGUGGAUGACGGUACCGGCAUAAGAAGCACCGGCUAACUACGUGCCAGCCGCCGCAGUAA